RNAcentral lists this ribosomal RNA (253 nucleotides) under uncultured bacterium. RNAcentral describes it as "partial 16S ribosomal RNA". It matches the Rfam family "Bacterial small subunit ribosomal RNA", at positions 524 to 776 of the family's 1533-position model. The record is from RNAcentral.
UACGUAGGCAGCGAGCGUUGUUCGGAGUUACUGGGCGUAAAGCGUGCGUAGGCGGUGUCUUAAGUUUGUUGUGAAAUCUCCCGGCUUAACCGGGAGGGUGCGGCGAAUACUGAGAUGCUGGAGUGCCGGAGAGGUAAGCGGAGUUCCUGGUGUAGCGGUGAAAUGCGUAGAUAUCAGGAGGAACACCUGCGGUGUAGACGGCUUACUGGACGGUAACUGACGCUGAGGCACGAAAGCGUGGGUAGCAAACAGG